This 486-nucleotide ribosomal RNA is filed under the name uncultured bacterium. RNAcentral describes it as "partial 16S ribosomal RNA". The record is from RNAcentral.
GUAGUUAGCCGGGGCUUCCUCCUUGGCUACCGUCACUUUCUUCGUCACCAAGGACAGAGGUUUACAAUCCGAAGACCUUCUUCCCUCACGCGGCGUUGCUGGGUCAGGCUUUCGCCCAUUGCCCAAUAUUCCCCACUGCUGCCUCCCGUAGGAGUCUGGACCGUGUCUCAGUUCCAGUGUGGCCGAUCAGCCUCUCAGCUCGGCUACCCAUCGUCGACUUGGUGGGCCGUUACCCCGCCAACUAUCUAAUGGGACGCGAACCCCUCCCUCUGCGGAUUGCUCCUUUGACCUCAUCCCGAUGCCGGGUCGUGGUCUUAUGCGGUAUUAGCACUUGUUUCCAGGUGUUAUCCCCCUCAGAAGGUCAGGUUGUUCACGCGUUACUCACCCGUUCGCCACUUGGUGUAAAACCGAAAUCUUACACCCCGUUCGACUUGCAUGUGUUAGGCACGCCGCCAGCGUUCGUCCUGAGCCAGGAUCAAACUCUGA